CCAGACUUCAAGAUGGCUCCUGGUGUACAUGCCCAUAUGUAUGGUCACUCUGAAAUUGAUCAUACAGGCUGGUCUGUGUGAGCAACAAAACAUGGCAGACAUUAUGGUGUACACUUUGGAUGCUAGAUCAUAAGAGGUUUGCAACUUCUACCUUAGUCUCUUAUGCUGACCCCUCUUGGGGAAGUCAACCACCAUGUCCUGAGGACCAAACAGGCUAUAGAGAAGCUCAGGCGGAAAAAAGCCAAUCUGCCAGGCAUGUGAGAGCCACCUUGUAAACAGAUCCUUCAGCCACAAUCAAGCCUUCAGAUGACUGCAGACCCAGUAACCUCAUGAGAGACCAGGAGCAUGAACCAUCCAACCAAAAUAUCCCUUGAAUUCCUGACUCACGGACAGGACAGCACAAGAUAUAAUUGUCAUAAAUCUCUAAAUUUGGGGAUAAUCCCUCAUGCUACAGUG
Molecule: long non-coding RNA, 456 nt
Filed under: Marmota monax (woodchuck)
Lineage: Eukaryota; Metazoa; Chordata; Mammalia; Rodentia; Sciuridae
Source: RNAcentral